Molecule: transfer RNA, 77 nt
Filed under: Thermanaeromonas toyohensis ToBE
Lineage: Bacteria; Bacillati; Bacillota; Clostridia; Neomoorellales; Neomoorellaceae
Also listed under: 3 other names
Description: tRNA_His
Rfam family: tRNA
About the family: Transfer RNA (tRNA) molecules are approximately 80 nucleotides in length. Their secondary structure includes four short double-helical elements and three loops (D, anti-codon, and T loops).
Source: RNAcentral
GUGGGUGUAGCUCAGCUGGUUAGAGCACCAGGUUGUGGCCCUGGGGGUCAUGGGUUCGAGUCCCUUCACCCACCCCA